Molecule: long non-coding RNA, 410 nt
Organism: Tachysurus vachellii
Lineage: Eukaryota; Metazoa; Chordata; Actinopteri; Siluriformes; Bagridae
Exons: 4
Source: RefSeq, a predicted model, not a curated record
UAGACCUUAAGCAAGCAGUUUCUGCUGCAGUCCGAGGGGUUAAAAGCAGAGCUAGUACUGAGGGAACAGAAAGCAGAGAUCGUGAGAGUUCAGCACAGAUAUGGAGAGAGAACAUUCUCUUUUCAAUGCAGGGAAAGCUCCCAAACCAAACAGAGCUGUGAUUUAGAGGUCUCGGUUUCAGCCACUGGGGCUCCCUUGCUUUGGACAUAUUGAUCCCUUUACACACAGGGAGGAGAGUUUCACUGUUGAGCACCCUUGUCUGUUCUACUUUACCAAGAGGAGUGAAAUCCAGGAGAACAUGCAGUUAGGAGCGUUUCUACUGAGAACCAAGCAGGAGCAUGACAAGCAAGUGCCUGAAGUGUUACAUGAUGAUGUUGGUUGAACUUUGGAUAGCAAUUUCAUAACCCAAG